UUUCAUAUAUUUUCUGUAUAUUGAACAAUAAAUAAUAGACUUAUCUUUUAUCUUUGAUAAUCAUUAUGUCAUUAUAUUUCAUUAUAACAUUAGAGUGUGCGAAAUAAUAUUACAGACAGAUAUUCGCGUUAUUAUAAUAGCCGAUAAUCUGAUUGUUGCGUUGGUAAUUAUUUAAGCAAAUAAUUAAUUGUUAUAUUAUUGUGUGUUACAGUAUCAUUGCAGCUAUGUAUAACAAACCACAUUUCUGAGAGGAGGAGGAGGUCCGGGAAGGGCAUCGGGUAUCAGCGGAGCAACCUUGGGUGUCAUCGCAGCUUCGUGGCUGAUUAUCUCCGCUCGUUGCGCAUCGGAUCGGUGAGAGCAAAAUAAUUUAAUUAUAAAACAAGAAAAAAUAUUAUUUUUUUCAAAAUUAAAAUUAUUUAAAAAAUAACUUUGUUUACAUAAAAACUAAGAAUAACAUAUUAAUAUAUGAUACAAAAAAAACAUUUUUGUUACAUCAAAAGUGGUCCCUUUCAUGACACUUUCUGUGGGUAAAGUCACCAAUUUUAGCAUUUUUACAUUAUUGCACAGUUCUUGUCCUUUAAUAGAUACCGUGAAACAUUCCAAUACGAUUUUUUGUACGCUUGAUUAUUUCGCAUGCGUGUCAUCUCGCGACGCGUAUAUGAUAACUUUCGAAUUUAUUGCUUUUGCAAAUCUUGACUAACUAUUAAUUUGUAAGAAUUCAAGACUCUCAAGGGACCACACAUCGACGAGUAACAAAGAAUACGCGAUUUAUAACGAGGUUUUUCACGCUUAUGGCUCGUACGUCCACUCCCUGCACUCGAGCACAUCAACUUAAGGUCCUUAUUACGUAAUGUACUAUUAUAUCAAUUCAAUAAGCUUUA
Molecule: long non-coding RNA, 881 nt
Organism: Monomorium pharaonis (pharaoh ant)
Lineage: Eukaryota; Metazoa; Arthropoda; Insecta; Hymenoptera; Formicidae
Exons: 2
Source: RefSeq, a predicted model, not a curated record